Molecule: ribosomal RNA, 274 nt
Filed under: uncultured bacterium
Lineage: Bacteria
Description: partial 16S ribosomal RNA
Rfam family: Bacterial small subunit ribosomal RNA
Source: RNAcentral
AUACGGAGGGUCCAAGCGUUAUCCGGAAUCAUUGGGUUUAAAGGGUCCGCAGGCGGUCAAUUAAGUCAGAGGUGAAAGCCCAUCGCUCAACGAUGGAACUGCCUUUGAUACUGGUUGACUUGAGUUAUACGGAAGUAGAUAGAAUAAGUAGUGUAGCGGUGAAAUGCAUAGAUAUUACUUAGAACACCGAUUGCGAAGGCAGUCUACUACGUAUAUACUGACGCUGAGGGACGAAAGCGUGGGGAGCGAACAGGAUUAGAAACCCUAGUAGUCC